This 253-nucleotide ribosomal RNA is filed under the name uncultured bacterium. Its description in RNAcentral is "partial 16S ribosomal RNA". It matches the Rfam family "Bacterial small subunit ribosomal RNA", at positions 524 to 776 of the family's 1533-position model. The record is from RNAcentral.
UACGUAGGUGGCAAGCGUUGUCCGGAAUUAUUGGGCGUAAAGCGUGCGCAGGCGGUUAUGUAAGACAGUUGUGAAAUCCCCGGGCUCAACCUGGGAAUUGCAUCUGUGACUGCAUAGCUAGAGUACGGUAGAGGGGGAUGGAAUUCCGCGUGUAGCAGUGAAAUGCGUAGAUAUGCGGAGGAACACCGAUGGCGAAGGCAAUCCCCUGGACCUGUACUGACGCUCAUGCACGAAAGCGUGGGGAGCAAACAGG